UACGUAGGGUGCGAGCGUUGUCCGGAAUUAUUGGGCGUAAAGGGCUCGUAGGCGGUCUGUUGCGUCAGGAGUGAAAACUCGGGGCUUAACCCCGAGCCUGCUUCUGAUACGGGCAGACUAGAGGUAUGCAGGGGAGAACGGAAUUCCUGGUGUAGCGGUGAAAUGCGCAGACAUCAGGAGGAACACCGGUGGCGAAGGCGGGUCUCUGGGCCGAUACUGACGCUGAGGAGCGAAAGCGUGGGGAGCGAACAGG
This 253-nucleotide ribosomal RNA is filed under the name uncultured bacterium. RNAcentral's name for it is "partial 16S ribosomal RNA". It matches the Rfam family "Bacterial small subunit ribosomal RNA", at positions 524 to 776 of the family's 1533-position model. The record is from RNAcentral.